This 743-nucleotide ribosomal RNA is filed under the name uncultured bacterium. RNAcentral's name for it is "bacterial SSU rRNA". It matches the Rfam family "Bacterial small subunit ribosomal RNA", at positions 94 to 823 of the family's 1533-position model. The record is from RNAcentral.
AGCGGCGGAUGGGUGAGUAACACGUGGGGAACCUGCCCCUAAGUCUGGGAUACCAUUUGGAAACAGGUGCUAAUACCGGAUAAUAAAGCAGAUCGCAUGAUCAGCUUUUGAAAGGCGGCGUAAGCUGUCGCUAAGGGAUGGCCCCGCGGUGCAUUAGCUAGUUGGUAAGGUAACGGCUUACCAAGGCGACGAUGCUUAGCCGAGUUGAGAGACUGAUCGGCCACAUUGGGACUGAGACACGGCCCAAACUCCUACGGGAGGCAGCAGUAGGGAAUCUUCCACAAUGGACGCAAGUCUGAUGGAGCAACGCCGCGUGAGUGAAGAAGGGUUUCGGAUCGUAAAGCUCUGUUGUUGGUGAAGAAGGAUAGAGGUAGUAACUGGCCUUUAUUUGACGGUAAUCAACCAGAAAGUCACGGCUAACUACGUGCCAGCAGCCGCGGUAAUACGUAGGUGGCAAGCGUUGUCCGGAUUUAUUGGGCGUAAAGCGAGCGCAGGCGGAAAAAUAAGUCUAAUGUGAAAGCCCUCGGCUUAACCGAGGAACUGCAUCGGAAACUGUUUUUCUUGAGUGCAGAAGAGGAGAGUGGAACUCCAUGUGUAGCGGUGGAAUGCGUAGAUAUAUGGAAGAACACCAGUGGCGAAGGCGGCUCUCUGGUCUGCAACUGACGCUGAGGCUCGAAAGCAUGGGUAGCGAACAGGAUUAGAUACCCUGGUAGUCCAUGCCGUAAACGAUGAGUGCUAAGUGU